CCUACGGGCGGCAGCAGUAGGGAAUAUUGCUCAAUGGGGGAAACCCUGAAGCAGCAACGCCGCGUGGAGGAUGAAGGUUUUCGGAUUGUAAACCUCUUUUGUUAGAGAAGAUAAUGACGGUAUCUAACGAAUAAGCACCGGCCAACUCCGUGCCAGCAGCCGCGGUAAUACGGAGGGUGCAAGCGUUACUCGGAAUCACUGGGCGUAAAGAGCGCGUAGGCGGGAUAGCAAGUCAGAUGUGAAAUCCUAUGGCUUAACCAUAGAACUGCAUUUGAAACUGUUAUUCUAGAGUAUGGGAGAGGUAGGUGGAAUUCUUGGUGUAGGGGUAAAAUGCGUAGAGAUCAAGAAGAAUACUCAUUGCGAAGGCGACCUGCUAGAACAUAACUGACGCUGAUGCGCGAAAGCGUGGGGAGCAAACAGGAUUAGAUACCCGGGUAGUC
RNAcentral lists this ribosomal RNA (440 nucleotides) under uncultured bacterium. RNAcentral describes it as "partial 16S ribosomal RNA". It matches the Rfam family "Bacterial small subunit ribosomal RNA", at positions 338 to 795 of the family's 1533-position model. The record is from RNAcentral.